RNAcentral lists this unclassified non-coding RNA (400 nucleotides) under uncultured fungus. Its description in RNAcentral is "sequence contains ITS1". Lineage: Eukaryota; Fungi. The record is from RNAcentral.
GGACUACAGGGGUUUCUAAUCCUGUUUGCUACCCACGCUUUCGUGCCUCAGCGUCAGUUAAAGCCCAGCAGGCCGCCUUCGCCACUGGUGUUCCUCCCCAUCUCUACGCAUUUCACCGCUACACGGGGAAUUCCGCCUGCCUCUACUUCACUCAAGCUCUACAGUUUCAAAUGCAGUUUAUGGGUUGAGCCCAUAGAUUUCACAUCUGACUUGCAAAGCCGCCUACGCACCCUUUACACCCAGUAAAUCCGGACAACGCUUGCUCCCUACGUAUUACCGCGGCUGCUGGCACGUAGUUAGCCGGAGCUUAUUCAUUAAGUACCGUCAAAUUUCGUCCUUAAUAAAAGAAGUUUACAAUCCGAAAACCUUCAUCCUUCACGCGGCGUUGCUGCGUCAGGGU